AAAAGGGACUUUUUGUCGUUUUUAUCAACUAACAUUGAUGGUAUUAAUUGGUCUUAAAGACAAUUACUAUGCUAAUACAGAUAAGAUAAACGUGAAAUCUUAUUGAGGAAAUCAAGAGCUAGAGCUACAUAAGAAUGAUAGGUAGGAACAGCACAAACGACGAAAAGCAAUUCAAUACAGAUGAAUCCAAUAUGUUAAACCUAAAUUUAGCAAUAAAUUAUAAUUUUGAUAGGGCUUGAUGUACUUAAUUGUCUUGCUUGACUCGUAAAGUAAAGAACUUGUAUUUUAAAAUCAGUAACUGAAAUAGCUGUGUUUUUUCUUUAGCACACAGUGGACGGAUUAUUGUUCAUUACACACCGAUGAUCCUUUUUCUUCCCAUUCUGUUGUUUAUAAAUUCUAUAUAAAGGUUCUUGUGGAGCUGGGCUUUUGAAAAAUCGAGGAACUUUUUACCUCAAAACACAAUGUAUAAAUUAAUCUACUCUAACAGGUGAAACUACCCUUUGUAUAUUCUUUACGCAAUCCAAAAAUUACAGCUACGUAAGGUACACUCUUUCUUACCCUGUGUCCUCAAAAAAAACAUUACAGCCUCUCUUACAGACUCUAGUUGGAAGGUUCGGAAGAAAUCAAGUCUGUAAGGCAAGGCAAUAAAUCUGAUUUAAAAGAUGUUUUUUCCUUGAUCAGAACAAAUUUCAUGAUUUUGCACAACUUGAGAUUUUCUCAGUGAUCGAUUUAAUCGAGACUUGCCCUGGUAAUAGAGAAUUUCUCGAAAUUUUGGGGUGAGCCACCUCCUAGACUCCACAAGAGUGGUUUUGCCGAUUCUCCAUCAGAAAGAGAAGCAUUGGGGUACAUUUUCAUAUCCAAAGAAAUGAUAUAAAACUUUUCUUCUGUUUUGUGUUAAGACUGACCGGCCUUUCCCCUUCUAUGGAACCUUUGCUGCAACGAAAAGUGAUUUCAGGUGAGACCUUUCUUCAAGCAGUCAUUGCCAUCCGGCUUGUUGUUAUGUAGCCGGGCCGGGCCCACUUCAUCCUCACAUGAAAGUUUACUAUUAACCAACCGCGCUUCGAAAGUUCUAUUUCCAUAGGAACAAAUCAAAGAGGUUCCGCAUAUGUUUAAAUUUUGAAAGCUGACAACUGAGGCAUGAAUUUCUACUAUUAUAUUCACCAUCAAUAGAGCCACAAGUCUGCUAUAGGUGUAUUUAAUAGAGUAUUCAUAACAGCGAUAUUCUUGUUAAAAAUUUAUCACCUCAACAAGAUAUUGUCGUCUUCAUGAUUUUUCAUUGCCAAGCUCGUCAACUUGAAAAUUAAAGUUCGCGAAUUCAAGAGGAAUCGAUAAAAUAGCUGACGUCUAACAAAAGCUCUUUCAUUGAAUUUCAUUCAAAGAACUUAGGCCUGUGAAAAUGGGCUUUGAGUUCUCGGGCGCAAAGAAAACACCGUAGCAAGGAUGAAGUCGAGCUGAGUUGAAUACUGAUUCAGUCAUUAGGAAAUGGCGAUUGAUUUUUACAGAGCUGCACGAGAAGGACACUCGGAUACCCUGCGCGUCAUUACGAAGAAAGAUGCAAACAAAGCAGCCGAUGAUGGAAUGACCCCUGUGCAUUGGGCAGCUAGUUAUGGCAACUUGGAAGGGCUAAGGAUACUCAUGCGAAAGGGGGGUGAUCCUGACAAGCCAAACAAAGAUGGAAUGACCGCAGUGCAUCUUGCAGCGAGCUCAGGCCAACUACCAUGCCUCGUGUUCCUAACCAACUUUGGGGCGAACAUCUACGCUGUUGACGAUAAUGGCAAUAAUCCUCUUCAAGAGGCCUCAAAUCGAGGUCGCAUUGAAUGCAUACGUCACUUGCAGAAUCUAAUAACUCACCAAAUGACGCUGGAUAGGGCGCGUAUAGAGAAAAUUCAAAUAAAGGCGAAACGAGAGGCCGAACACCGGAUACGGGAGAAAUCGCGCGUUAGGAGGAAACUAGACAGGGAAUGGGAGAAGAAAGUAGAGAAACAGCGGCGGUCUGCGAUGGCUGCCGAAAUCAAAUUAAAAAGGAAAGGCCAACAGAAUCAACAUGAUUUCAUACAAUACCGAAAAGACUCUGACUCUUUGUCAGCAUCAGAAACUGAUUCGUUGGAUCGAAAAAAGCUGUUCUCAGAACUAAUCGGCAUACGUUCAGAUACCGAAAGCACGUACUCAAGUCCGCGGAGCAAAAUGACUUCUCCUGAUGAACCGGAUGAGUUGACCUAUUCGAUGACAAGUUUGAACACGGAUCCUGGACAUUACGGAUUGCCAAGCAACGGCCAUGCUACGGCAAAUGGAUAUGUUUCCCAGAUUUCGGAAGAUAUUGUGUUUGGGAAAAGAGAGCCCGGAGAUCUUGAUUCCACGUACCCUUUUAUAAAAAAGAAUGGCAAUGCCAAAAGUAACGGAAAAGCCAACGGUACAACACCGCGAAGAAACGGAGGUUUACACAGCAACGGGAAAGAUCGCUUUGCCGCCUCUUAUAACUUACCACCGCGUCAUUAUAUACGGCGCAGGCCAGGGAAUAACAACCCUGCCAACUCAAACUUUUCUUCGCUCGCAACGUUCUUGAACUCUCUAGCACUUGAUGAAUUUAGAGAGCUCUUUGUCAAAGAGAAAAUUGAUCUUCGUGCGGUUACAUUGUGCAAUGAAAGAGAUUUGAAAGAAAUUGGCCUACCUUUAGGGCCUAGAAAGAAAAUAUUAGAUGCAAUUCAGCGAAGAAAUGAAUUAAUGAGCGAUCCUGCAGAUGAUCUUGAAGAGACUCUCGCUUAGCUGCGAAAGGAAAUAUAGAGAAGCAUACUUGAGCAAAUAAAUGCAUUUUUAGACCUUAUUACAAUGUAUUUACUAGUGAAGUCGUAGGAAAUCAUAGGCUGGGGCCUGGCCUCGGUGAAAAAUCUGGCGCGGAAGCGCAUUGAGUUUGAAGGUCAGUGAAAACCAGGUUUUGACCAGACAUUUGAAGAGCUUUGGAAUGAUACGUGUUCUAUUUCCUGAAAGAAAAUUUGGAAUCGAACAGUUCUUCAUAGUGUCAUUGCUGUUAGGAGAUUUGUUAGGUUGAAGUCAACAUUCUGUCUUUAGUAAACGGAUUUCUACAAGUGCGCUUAGGUUAUUUGGUUCAUGAAACCUGCAGGCAAGAAUGAACCCAACGCGCCUUUCGGCAUCGAAGAAGCAUCUUCGAAAUGACAGAUAACUUUGUAUUAUAAUAUUUGAAUUUAUAACAGUGAAUUGUAUUGCGAAAAAUAAACCCAAGGCACUGUAAUCUUGUAUUUGCACUUUUGACCAGGUUUCAUAGUAGCAGUUUUGUACAGGUAUCAGUAUGACGUAAUCAAGGCAAUGUCCAUCGACUCCUUCCUGAUUGUAAAAAAUUCUGCCAGGUUCUCAACAAUGUCAUUGUACAGUGGUUUUUACAAUCGAAACCGUCAGAUUGAAAUCAUUUUCUGUCUAGAAAUGCGGGUUUUUAUAUAUCACAUAGAUGAAAUUCGGAGUAGCAAAUUAAAACCUUCCCCGGCGUCUCCAGUCUCAUUCAGCCGUUUACCAAAGCUCACCCGGAAAACUGACGAAAAAGGGUUGGUUUUUUCCUUUAACCCAGGACAGUGAAACUUAGAGAAGAAGAACUUUUGGGAAUUCAGAAAGAGCACCACCCCAAAUUUGAUUCAGUACAGCAUUUAGAAGAAAAGAAGCAUUUUGCAUGUAAUACCAUUUACAACUUAUUAGAAAUAAAGUUUCACACCAAAGUCAGACGGAAGGGGUCUUUUUAAGAUCUAUCGGAUGUACUUGGGUACACCUCUUAGUGAGGGUAGACACGUCGGGGAACCUUCCUGCUCUAUACAUCAAAAACAUGUACAGCUCUGCUUUUACAGCAUCGACUACUUUGUGACAAACCCGUUAACAGUCAUUUUCAGUGGAAAUAGGGGUCGUAACUUUUAUGUGGAUUGAGUUAUAUUGCUCAAGAAGGUUCGUUUCAUUUAUUGCAUGAUUUUUGUGUAAAACAAACCACGUGUCAUUAGGUUUUGGUUUUCUGCCAACUGACAAAACUAAAAACACGAAUUUUGCGACAGCUGAUAGUUCCUUGCUUAUAAACUGUCCACGAAGAUGUGUGUCUCCAAUCAAAUGGUCGAUUGUCUUUAGAUUGAAAUUUUUUUAUUACAAGCCACCAGCUACUGCCAGAUUUCAACCGUUAUUCAAAAUAAUAUUUUCUAACUAUCCUUACGCGUCUUGCUCUUUGAGAACGGAUGUGCAAUGCUAAUCUAUUCUAUAUUUCAAAGUGAUUUAAACCGACACUUUUAAUGAUGGGGUAAUACACCUGUUCUUUCAGCUUGGUACAACUUCAAGUUGGUGAAAUUCUCAAUGUAUUGUAACAAGUCUCAGAAAUUGUGGCAGGGGUAAGGGAAUGCCAUUAAGGGUGCACCCUUUAAGGGAACAAAUUCAUUCUCCUAUAUACAUAUCACCGUCACACCAUUUUAAAGAUAAUUUUUCUUUUCAUAGAUAUUAAAACAUCAAAUCCCAAGCCAAUAGGUUAUCCAUUUUAAGAAGACUCGGUUGGGCCAUGGUUCGAGAAGAGUGAUAGGGGUUGCCCCGAACAUGGUCCUGAAAUUGUAAUCAUAAUCUUAUCAAAAGAAUCAUCAAAACUCAAAUAUAUGGAAAAAGACUUCUUUUAUUGCGAGGAUUCAUACUUACAAAAGCUUUAGAAACAAGGGAGGGGUUGCAAUCCCUACCAAUGCCUAUCUUUGAAAAACAAGCAGGUUUUAAAGGCAGUCUGUCUCAAAUGGUUUGCAAAGAUUUGCCAUGGCUGUGAAAAAUUACACACGAAUGACUUAUAAAUAAAAAGAGCAAACCAAAGUGAGAGAUCCAUUACAACAGUGGGGGUCACACAGCCUUUUUUCACAAUUGAUACUUAGCAUAUUGGAAAACCCUGUUAGCUUACAAGAAGUAUCAAGUCAAACCUGAAGAAAUAAUUUCAAUCUUAGAAGCAUGCGAGGUGUAUUCAAAAAGUUAAUAAAAUAUAUAUUGUGUUUCUAUAUGAUUAUAUCAAGUCACAAAUAAUGAUCAUCAAAUCAAAGUAUCGAUCAGUCAUUAUAAAGUAUCCAAAUGAUUCUCCGCAAAAGCUUUAUAAAGCAGUUUAUUGGCUCUUGGUCUUUUAAUUUUGAAUGAUUCAAAAAGAUUUAUUUGAGACUCCUUUAAUCAGCCAAUAUUCAAUUUCAGCAUUUAACAAGGCAAGCAGGCAAAACCAGCAUGAAAGCUUCACAGGGGACAAAGUUUUUUCACAGAGAACCAAAAAAAUGGUUUCCAGAAACAGACAAGCACCAUACUUGAACCAGCUAUGGCUGAAUAAGGAUCCUGAAGAAAGAUAAAAUGAUCUGGAUCACAAUAAAUAUCAGCAAUGAUCAAACUUCUUGAAAAAAAAAUUACUUUUUUGUCCUGAAUGGUUGCUGUCUUAACACUUGGUGUUACAUUUGAUUUUAAUUGGUGUUCUUUAACUUUUCCGACCUUGUUUUACUUUAGGUAAAAGUUUUGGUAUAAAAAACUAUCGGCUAUGUUACCUCAAAUCAUUUUCUGUCCUAGAAAAACACAUUUUUGCCUCGCUUGAUAUAAAUUAUAACAGUCUUGUAUUAGGAUGCAUUACCUUAACAAAAACUGAGCUGAAUAGUACUUUGUUGACAGAAUGGGUAAGCUAUAUAAACAAAUUAAAGAUCUCCUUUAGAGAAUAGAAAAGUAGUGAUUUUUGUUAAUAGUUGCCUGGCAAAUUCAACUUAGAAGAAAAACACUCAUUUAUCUUCAGUCAAACACCACAUUAAAAACAGUAGGUAUGGAUUGGGACAAUGUACACUGGAAAUUGUGAUGAGAAAAAGCAAGAUCUGUUGGAUCUCAUCUAUGAUAGUAGUCGCCAAAUGCAUGGUGUUGAAAAAAAUGUAUUUCCUUUAAGAGAAUAACUAUAAUACUAACUUGAAAUAAAAUUUAAAAAUUUCUAAUCUGGAACUGGGAACAUGGAUUCCACUGAAAAAGUAGUUGUCUUGUUGAGUAAGAGUACAGAAAAAUUUUACUUAAUGUUCUUUUCUCUACCUUUACCAAACAUGGCUCACAGACUCUGAAAACUUUUUACCACCUGAUUAUUUACACUAAUGAAUGCUUUUUUGUAAAUACCAUAGGCUUAGACUUAAUUUUACGAAACUGUGCAUUGUUAUAAAAUUGGACCUGGGAAUCUGUAAAUUUUAUGCAACUAUAUGCAAACACAUCAAUUUACAUAACUUGUUUCGAAAUUCCAAUUUAUAAGCUGAUUGCAUAUCAAACUUUAAGGCAUUACAGAAAGAAGGACAUAAUUACCAGUCACAACUCAGUCACAAGAGCCAUCCGCCCAGCCAUCUCUCCAUCUUUCAAAGACUUUUGAACAAUCAAAUUCUUUUUUGCCUAGUCUUCUGUUUACUUCAUUGUGAUAAUCACAAAACCAGAGAGACAAUGCUUUAUUACUUGAAGUAUCUGGGGUAUCUGUUUUCAGCCUAAAAAAUUUCAAUAAUUUAUUAGAUUUAAUAUCUGCAAAUAUUAUUUUACUUGCUAACUUGAGGCUUUCUGACAACAAUUUUUGAUAAUAAGUGAUGGUGAAUUGAUAACACCAGGAAAGGUUUAUAGCAAUUAGUGAAGGAAGAAAACAACUUCAAUUUACUUGUGAAAAUGCUAUCAUGGUUGAUUCAAGCAUACUAUGAUGACCUUUCAAAAAUAUUCUUUUCAAAAUUAGGAUAAUCAUGACCAGUAAAAAGUAAAUGACUAUUCAGUAGAUAGUGACAAUCUCACCUUUCUCUUAAAUGAUAUGAACACCAUUCACAUGGGUAGAACUUGGAGAAAAUCUUUAUAAAAUCAGUCAUCUCCCUUUGUUGCUUACUUGUUGGUGUUUCUGGGUAAUAGGCAGCCAUAGUGUGCAAAAAUCCCCAUGUAUUACGGCCUAAUUCACCUUUAUCCAAAGGACAAUCUGGUCCACUAGCUAAUGGUUUUUGCUUAGGAGGUUCUUUAUGUGUAUCUUUGACAGGUGUAUCCAACUAAAAUGAAAAGAAAUUAGGUGCAUUCAACAACAUGAAAUUUUCAAUAUUAGAUGAAUUUCAACAUGAAGGUUUUAAAUCUUAUGUUCUUCUUGAAGAAGAAGAUAAGGAGAUGCAAAAUCAUUGGGUUAAUUCAAAACUAAUUACAUAACCAAUUAGUUGGCCUAGAUAAAGUUACAUAACAUGCCCGAUUACAAGGUAAUAUUGAGAAGUAGUCAUAGUAACAGUUAAAGCUCUUGCAUUAUUAGAUAGAUCAAGCAAGAAAGAUUGAUGGGGUGGAAGUUCAAGUGCUUAGUUGAGCUUUGCUUUGUAAAUAGUUUCAUACCAGGGUGGAAUCCAUUUGAAGCCAGACAUACUCCUGAUAUCUCCGGCAUAAGCUACAUGGAUUCCACACUUGGUUUCAUAUAACGUGGAAUUGGAUUAAUAUAAAUUCUCCUUGAUUGUGUUAAAUUGCAACUUACAAUAACAACAGGUAGAGGCAUGCAGAAGAUAGAUAAUCAGUAUUGAGGUGUGUUGAGUACAAUAAAAACUUGGCACAAACAGUUUUGUGUUUCAUUUUGUGUUUUACUAGUAAUUCGAAAGAAUCCACUUCCAUCUAAACAAUACUGCGCAACAGCUGUAUACUAUGUACACUAGAUAAUUUCUACACCAUAAAAAAGAAUUUAUGUAGUUCAUCAACACAUGUAUAAUGUAGCAGCUUAUAUAUUGGCCACUUAAAAUGACAUUGAUUUGGUGUAGUUAAAAGAAAAGUUGAGAAUGAACCAAUAGAGCUUACGGAACUCGCCAUUGCAGGGGCUGUUUUUCCUACCACACUUCCUGUCAUUUGCUUGGUCCAGCUUUUAAAGUCUGUGCAUGCUCUACAUGGCUUACCAUCCGGGCCUAAAACAAUUGGAGGCUCGGUGCCACCAGGGCUCCCCUUUAUCUGGCUACCAGAUGCAGUGGAUUCCUUUACAAAAUUAUCUGAAUUUUGAGUGUUUUGGUUCAUUUAGGUUAAACUGGAAUAAGUCCCUCAACCAUUUGCUCAGAAUUUCAUCAGCCUGAGUGUUCCACUUAAUGAACUCGAUUUGAAGGAGAGGCUAGGUUUAUCACAGGGCGUCCAUAUAUGUACUUGUCCAGCGUACAAAAUGGCGUCAAGAAUCAGAUUAUUGGGUGGAAAGUUGAAAUCAUUCUGGGAGGAACAGCCAGUUCUUUUCAUUUCAAUUCUUAUGGGAAUAUCAGGACCACCUAUGGUGUACUUUAGUCCAUUAACCUAUAAACAAGUAGAAGAAACAUCCAAAAUACCUACAACCUAUCCUUGGGAUCUUGUGAAAGAUUGGAAAAGAAAAGAAAAGGCAGAAACAGUCUGAUACAGAUGCCACUAAGAAUGUCAAAUUACUACUUCUUCAGCAGAGAGACUUUUGAACUAACUAUGUCUGAUUGAAGGUGUAGGUGAAACCAACCUUGUUUCAUUUAAAUGUUUUGUGUUUGCAAAGAAAUAUGAGUCAGUUUGUGAAUGGCAUAUGCCUUAAUUAUGUAUUG
Non-coding RNA from Rhopilema esculentum, 8534 nucleotides. The record is from RefSeq and is a predicted model, not a curated record. Lineage: Eukaryota; Metazoa; Cnidaria; Scyphozoa; Rhizostomeae; Rhizostomatidae.